Molecule: transfer RNA, 73 nt
Filed under: Phytophthora captiosa
Lineage: Eukaryota; Oomycota; Peronosporomycetes; Peronosporales; Peronosporaceae
Description: tRNA-Lys
Rfam family: tRNA
About the family: Transfer RNA (tRNA) molecules are approximately 80 nucleotides in length. Their secondary structure includes four short double-helical elements and three loops (D, anti-codon, and T loops). Further hydrogen bonds mediate the characteristic L-shaped molecular structure. tRNAs have two regions of fundamental functional importance: the anti-codon, which is responsible for specific mRNA codon recognition, and the 3' end, to which the tRNAs corresponding amino acid is attached (by aminoacyl-tRNA synthetases). tRNAs cope with the degeneracy of the genetic code in two manners: having more than one tRNA (with a specific anti-codon) for a particular amino acid; and 'wobble' base-pairing, i.e. permitting non-standard base-pairing at the 3rd anti-codon position.
Source: RNAcentral
AAGUAUAUAGCUAAGUUGGUAGAGCACCGGACUUUUAAUCUGAUGAUUUGUGGUUUAAGUCCCAAUAUACUUA